This 751-nucleotide ribosomal RNA is filed under the name uncultured Actinomyces sp. RNAcentral's name for it is "bacterial SSU rRNA". It matches the Rfam family "Bacterial small subunit ribosomal RNA", at positions 28 to 776 of the family's 1533-position model. Lineage: Bacteria; Bacillati; Actinomycetota; Actinomycetes; Actinomycetales; Actinomycetaceae. The record is from RNAcentral.
GACGAACGCUGGCGGCGUGCUUAACACAUGCAAGUCGAACGCUGAAGCCUAGCUUGCUGGGUGGAUGAGUGGCGAACGGGUGAGUAACACGUGAGUAACCUGCCCUCUUCUUUGGGAUAACGCCCGGAAACGGGUGCUAAUACUGGAUAUUCACUGAUUCUCGCAUGGGGGUUGGUGGAAAGGUUUUUUCUGGUGGGGGAUGGGCUCGCGGCCUAUCAGCUUGUUGGUGGGGUGAUGGCCUACCAAGGCUUUGACGGGUAGCCGGCCUGAGAGGGUGACCGGUCACAUUGGGACUGAGAUACGGCCCAGACUCCUACGGGAGGCAGCAGUGGGGAAUAUUGCACAAUGGGCGAAAGCCUGAUGCAGCGACGCCGCGUGAGGGAUGGAGGCCUUCGGGUUGUAAACCUCUUUCGCUCAUGGUCAAGCCGCAGCUUUGGGUUGUGGUGAGGGUAGUGGGUAAAGAAGCGCCGGCUAACUACGUGCCAGCAGCCGCGGUAAUACGUAGGGCGCGAGCGUUGUCCGGAAUUAUUGGGCGUAAAGGGCUUGUAGGCGGUUGGUCGCGUCUGCCGUGAAAUCCUCUGGCUUAACUGGGGGCGUGCGGUGGGUACGGGCUGACUUGAGUGCGGUAGGGGAGACUGGAACUCCUGGUGUAGCGGUGGAAUGCGCAGAUAUCAGGAAGAACACCGGUGGCGAAGGCGGGUCUCUGGGCCGUUACUGACGCUGAGGCGCGAAAGCGUGGGGAGCGAACAGG